This 28-nucleotide non-coding RNA is filed under the name Mus musculus (house mouse). Lineage: Eukaryota; Metazoa; Chordata; Mammalia; Rodentia; Muridae. The record is from RNAcentral.
UGGAUGCUUCGGGUCGACACUGUUGCCU